Pezoporus occidentalis (night parrot) is the source of this 637-nucleotide long non-coding RNA. RefSeq lists it as uncharacterized. NCBI's taxonomy places the organism in Eukaryota, Metazoa, Chordata, Aves, Psittaciformes, Psittacidae. The transcript has 5 exons. The record is from RefSeq and is a predicted model, not a curated record.
ACGCUCAGCUGCGAAUCGCCUCGCGCUUCCUCAAAGACCCUCUGAAGCCAGGAGGCACUGCCGCUCGCCGGCACCGCCACCGCCUCCUCCCGCCUCUCCUCGUCAGGGCGGGCGCUCCCGCCGCUCUCUGGGCGGAGUCAUCUGUGCAGAACUGAACCACAGCUGAAGCAGGAACCAGAAUUCUUGCUCUUCUCUACUUCUAUUCCUGAUAUUAGAGGAGAUUUCCGGUUUCCACAGAGCGUAGUUCAAUCGCCUUCUCUCCCCAGCCCAUGACCUGGUUAGACUGAAGUUCCUAGUCUGUGUAACAGGACAGUGCUGCUCUAGGCUGUAAAGAAGACUGUCAUGAACAUUCCUGAACACAGCAGCAUGAUGAGCACUAGGGCAGCAACCACACUGCAGUUAGUAUCUAUGAAGGAAGCGUAUGACUGGAGUUUUAUAUCAUUCUCACAAGCCAGCAACACACAGAUCUUCUCUUCAAGCACAUACAUUAACACACACUGUGAGGGCACAAUGAACAGGAAAAGAAGCACUGAAGCUGUACUUGCCAAACUGAAUACACUCAGGCCAACCACUUGACUCCGUGCCUCCGCAACAACUAUCCGUAACACUAGAACGGGGAUCCAGAGUCGCAGAGCAA